AGGUGGGGAUGACGUCAAGUCAUCAUGGCCCUUACGCGCUGGGCUACACACGUGCUACAUGGCGACUACAGUGGGCAGCAAUCCCGCGAGGGUGAGCUAAUCUCCAAAAGUCGUCUCAGUUCGGAUUGCACUCUGCAACUCGAGUGCAUGAAGGCGGAAUCGCUAGUAAUCGCGGAUCAGCAUGCCGCGGUGAAUACGUUCC
RNAcentral lists this ribosomal RNA (202 nucleotides) under Sphingomonas asaccharolytica. Its description in RNAcentral is "partial 16S rRNA". It matches the Rfam family "Bacterial small subunit ribosomal RNA", at positions 1171 to 1374 of the family's 1533-position model. Lineage: Bacteria; Pseudomonadati; Pseudomonadota; Alphaproteobacteria; Sphingomonadales; Sphingomonadaceae. The record is from RNAcentral.